This 667-nucleotide unclassified non-coding RNA is filed under the name Hevea brasiliensis (rubber tree). Lineage: Eukaryota; Viridiplantae; Streptophyta; Magnoliopsida; Malpighiales; Euphorbiaceae. The record is from RNAcentral.
CCCAACCCUUUUCUUAUAGUCGGCUAAUCUUUCCACCCCUCCUUGUUCAAUCGUCGUGAGGCAAGGCCUUUAGAUGAGAGGCUUGGAGUAACAGGUAGUGAAGGUGUCUUGGGAGCCUCCUCAUCAUCCCAAUCAUCACCCCAACUGUUAUCCCAUCCAUUGUUGACUUCAGAUUCUGGUUUUCCCCCACCAGAAACUGGCAGAUCCAUGUUUAGACUUUGAUAUUUAGAGCUAAUGCUGAAGAGUUGCUUCCUCCGGAAGCUGAUGCACAUCCAACCUGCUGCCAGUAUUAGCAGUGCAGCAAUGGCCAAGACAACAAUGGUAGGAGUUGGUGACAUGAAGUUUAAAUACGUAGACUUCUGAGAGUUAUCAAACUCCUUAUCAAUCAAAUGUCUUAUAUCCAGGCUGCAGUGACCCUUUCCUGACUUUAGGACAAUCAAGUUGUCACUUCCUCCACUUGUAAUAGAGACCUUCACCUUUUUAUCUUCUUUUGCUUGGAGCUGAAUUUCUGUUUUCUCCAAUUGAACAAAAUCCGGAGCAGAAAUAGUAACUGUGAGAGGGUUUUUCCCUUUAUUCUGAAUUAAAAGUGAAUAUUGAUCAUUUCCUGGAACUCUUAAACAAGCAACCAAGUUGUUAUCCUCAUCUAUGCACUUGUUGGAAGGAUCAC